RNAcentral lists this ribosomal RNA (404 nucleotides) under uncultured bacterium. RNAcentral describes it as "bacterial SSU rRNA". It matches the Rfam family "Bacterial small subunit ribosomal RNA", at positions 917 to 1322 of the family's 1533-position model. The record is from RNAcentral.
GGACCCGCACAAGCGGUGGAUGAUGUGGAUUAAUUCGAUGCAACGCGAAAAACCUUACCUACCCUUGACAUGUCAAGAAUCCCUGAGAGAUUAGGGAGUGCCGCAAGGAACUUGAACACAGGUGCUGCAUGGCUGUCGUCAGCUCGUGUCGUGAGAUGUUGGGUUAAGUCCCGCAACGAGCGCAACCCUUGUCAUUAGUUGCCAUCAUUUAGUUGGGCACUCUAGGGAGACUGCCGGUGAUAAGCCGGAGGAAGGUGGGGAUGACGUCAAGUCCUCAUGGCCUUUAUGUCCAGGGCUACACACGUGUUACAAUGGGGGUGACAAAGGGCAGCGAAACGGUGACGUGGAGCGAAUCCCAAAAAAGCCCUCUCAGUUCGGAUCGCAGUCUGCAACUCGACUGCGUG